GGAAGCUCCACAACGACUGUUACGGAGACAUUUAACUUACUAAAAAAUCAUCCCAAAUCAAACCUUCCGACGAAUCAUCGGCCAUCGAUAUAGCUCAAAUCCAUAAGAAAUGAAAUGGCAGAU
Molecule: long non-coding RNA, 123 nt
Organism: Amblyraja radiata (thorny skate)
Lineage: Eukaryota; Metazoa; Chordata; Chondrichthyes; Rajiformes; Rajidae
Exons: 3
Source: RefSeq, a predicted model, not a curated record